RNAcentral lists this long non-coding RNA (2217 nucleotides) under Homo sapiens (human). RNAcentral's name for it is "HSALNT0003368". Lineage: Eukaryota; Metazoa; Chordata; Mammalia; Primates; Hominidae. The record is from RNAcentral.
GCCCCGACUCCGCGGCCGCAGCCCCAGAACAAAUCCUCCAGAAUCAAGUGGCGGGGCCGCGGCCGCCCGCGCGGGGUUAGUACCCCCGGGGCCCGCGGGGCGGGGCUGGCGGAGCGACGCGUCGCACAGCCAAUCGGCGGAGCCCCCAUCGCGGGCACCUCGGUGGCGUUCGCGGGGAGGAACGGGGCCUGCCGGAGGCCGCCCAACGGGGAGGGGCGGAAGGCGCCACCCCGCGGAGGAGGCCCCAGUGCCACAGCCCAGGGCCCCCGAGAGCUCUGGGAGCCCGGGGCAAAUGCUAGAAAUUUGCUUAGAACGUCCGGGUCCCACGGAAGGCGCCCUUGCCGCCCUCUCUCGGGUCGUAGCUCCCUGACGCUGGGGCGCAACCCCUUCGCUCCUCCUCCCCGCUGGCCGCGGCCGGGCUUCCCCAGCUCUUGCUGCUUCGGGCCUGUGACUUCUGCAACCCCGGGCUGGGGGCCGCGGGGUCUCAGGGCCGGUGACGCCGCACUGGGAGCCGCCCCAAAGAGGUUACUCACCUCCCUCGUCCCGCACAUUAUUCUGACCCAAGAGCCUCCACCCCACACGGGAUUUUGCGCGUCGUCCACGCCCGGCCGGCGGCCUUUGCUGCUCCCAGCCCUGCGCGGCUUUGGUCCCAGCCUCGGUGGCCCCUGUGCCAAACCGGGGACAGGCGGAAGGGAGUCUCCUAGGGACCCUAAGUAGCCUGGGGCCAACAACCCCUUUCCUCUCUGCUCUCCCCUCAAAACAAGUUUCAGGAUCUUGCAGGCCUCGCGGCGUCGUUCUUCGUUGUGGCGGCCUGUGGCUCUUUGAAAAACACGACGAGGCCUGCAAAAUGCGUUUUUCUUUUUUUCCUUUACGCAUGUAACCACGGUCCUGCAUCGUGAAACGGUACGCGCGUCGGUGGCAAAAGAAAAACAGCAGUGGCUGCAAAGCUAAGGGCCCUCGCUUUCAGAGGAGAGAAUUUUCUUUCUCCAUGCGGGUGGAAAGUGGCCUCUGCGGGUCCAACCCCACUUCUUCUUGGGCCCGUGCGCUCCGGCUGCGCCGCAGGGACCGCGGACAGCUUCGCCAAGGCACUGCCUGCCCGCCCGGCUCCGGGUCCCCGCUCCCACUCCCAGCCGCGUGGCCCAACCUCUCCUGGGCUUCACUGCAAAUCACCCCUUCCUCUCCCGCCUCCUAAGUCUGUCGAGCAGACCUAGGGGCCGGCUACAGUUGGGAGGGCAACGGGAAAGAUCAAGCCACAAUCAUUCCGAAUUAUCGCCCCAGACACCUCCCUAGACUCUGGGGAACGAACGCGUGCUGAGCCUCCCCGCCGCUUUGGAGACGGGGCUAGAUUUUCGUUGCCUCCGGCUCUCGACAGGUGCAAAACAAUGAAUUCCAAGCCUCGGAAGCAAAGAAGCUUAGGAUCCGACGGUGGCCGCAAGAUCUCAUCAUGGAUCUGACCCCUGCUCAGCGCGCGCCAUUUCGUCGUUGCCAAACGAAAUCAAGCCCCGCGUGCGCUCCAGGGGCGAAGGACUCUGGACUCACCCCGACCACCGGGAGAGCUGGCCCCUACCCACCUCGGGACCUCACAGCACGCCCUCAGGCCGUGUCGAAAGGAAGGACGGCAAAGGUCCCUUACUGAACCUUUUAAGAGAGCCUGCGCCUGGCAGUUGUCGAUUGCGGACCCAGGCCCGCGCGCCCUCGGACGCGCUGGCACGAGCAGCAGAACUAGAGGAAAGCGAGUGAUCCAGCCUGGGCGCUCCCACCUCCGGGAACGUCUCCGAGAAGGCGCAGCGCGUCGUGGCCAGCUGGGGAAACCGAGGCCCAGGAAGGAUCAGAGAUUUGCCCACCGUCACAGAAGGUGCUUAUUGACAAGUGGACUUGACUCUGAGGCUCCUGUCAGCUGGCCCGGUUGCCUCUGCACAAACUUUCGGAGGAUCUGGCCUCAGCAUCAGCUCAGCUUGCCCUUGUCCCGCCGCCUUUAGCCCAGGUGGUCUGUCAGGCACCCUCAGUGUCCAGGCCUGGAAAUCACAGCUAAGAGUCCUUGGCAGGCAAUAAAGUUCCUCUUCUAUGGCUUGAAUGUCUCCCAAAAGUCAUACAUUAAAACUUCACCCCCAUUGUGAUGGUAUUAAGAGGCAGUGGGGGGCCUUUCGGGAAGUGAUUAAGUGGUGAAGGCUCUGCCCUCAUGAAUGGAUUAGGCCCUCUUUGCCCUUCUGACUUCAG